Molecule: ribosomal RNA, 3027 nt
Filed under: Salmonella enterica subsp. enterica serovar Heidelberg
Lineage: Bacteria; Pseudomonadati; Pseudomonadota; Gammaproteobacteria; Enterobacterales; Enterobacteriaceae
Also listed under: 6 other names
Description: bacterial LSU rRNA
Rfam family: Bacterial large subunit ribosomal RNA
Source: RNAcentral
GGGUUGUGAGGUUAAGCGACUAAGCGUACACGGUGGAUGCCCUGGCAGUCAGAGGCGAUGAAGGGCGUGCUAAUCUGCGAUAAGCGCCGGUAAGGUGAUAUGAACCGUUAUAACCGGCGAUACCCGAAUGGGGAAACCCAGUGUGACUCGUCACACUAUCAUUAACUGAAUCCAUAGGUUAAUGAGGCGAACCGGGGGAACUGAAACAUCUAAGUACCCCGAGGAAAAGAAAUCAACCGAGAUUCCCCCAGUAGCGGCGAGCGAACGGGGAGGAGCCCAGAGCCUGAAUCAGCAUGUGUGUUAGUGGAAGCGUCUGGAAAGGCGCGCGAUACAGGGUGACAGCCCCGUACACAAAAGCGCAUGUGCUGUGAGCUCGAUGAGUAGGGCGGGACACGUGGUAUCCUGUCUGAAUAUGGGGGGACCAUCCUCCAAGGCUAAAUACUCCUGACUGACCGAUAGUGAACCAGUACCGUGAGGGAAAGGCGAAAAGAACCCCGGCGAGGGGAGUGAAAAAGAACCUGAAACCGUGUACGUACAAGCAGUGGGAGCCCCACCACUAAGCCAGUGGUGAACUCCACAUACGCAUCCUUUGCUGAGGAUACGGUUAACGGAGCGAAAGCGACGUUCAACCGCAAAAGAAGCAGAGGGGGCUUAGUGGUGGGGUGACUGCGUACCUUUUGUAUAAUGGGUCAGCGACUUAUAUUCUGUAGCAAGGUUAACCGAAUAGGGGAGCCGGAGGGAAACCGAGUCUUAAUUGGGCGUUAAGUUGCAGGGUAUAGACCCGAAACCCGGUGAUCUAGCCAUGGGCAGGUUGAAGGUUGGGUAACACUAACUGGAGGACCGAACCGACUAAUGUUGAAAAAUUAGCGGAUGACCUGUGGCUGGGGGUGAAAGGCCAAUCAAACCGGGAGAUAGCUGGUUCUCCCCGAAAGCUAUUUAGGUAGCGCCUCGUGAAUUCAUCUCCGGGGGUAGAGCACUGUUUCGGCUAGGGGGCCAUCCCGGCUUACCAACCCGAUGCAAACUGCGAAUACCGGAGAAUGUUAUCACGGGAGACACACGGCGGGUGCUAACGUCCGUCGUGAAGAGGGAAACAACCCAGACCGCCAGCUAAGGUCCCAAAGUCAUGGUUAAGUGGGAAACGAUGUGGGAAGGCCCAGACAGCCAGGAUGUUGGCUUAGAAGCAGCCAUCAUUUAAAGAAAGCGUAAUAGCUCACUGGUCGAGUCGGCCUGCGCGGAAGAUGUAACGGGGCUAAACCAUGCACCGAAGCUGCGGCAGCGACACUGUGUGUUGUUGGGUAGGGGAGCGUUCUGUAAGCCUGUGAAGGUGUGUCGUGAGGCAUGCUGGAGGUAUCAGAAGUGCGAAUGCUGACAUAAGUAACGAUAAAGCGGGUGAAAAGCCCGCUCGCCGGAAGACCAAGGGUUCCUGUCCAACGUUAAUCGGGGCAGGGUGAGUCGACCCCUAAGGCGAGGCCGAAAGGCGUAGUCGAUGGGAAACGGGUUAAUAUUCCCGUACUUGGUGUUACUGCGAAGGGGGGACGGAGAAGGCUAUGUUGGCCGGGCGACGGUUGUCCCGGUUUAAGCGUGUAGGUGUGUGUUCCAGGUAAAUCCGGUUCACUUUAACACUGAGGCGUGACGACGAGGCACUACGGUGCUGAAGCAACAAAUGCCCUGCUUCCAGGAAAAGCCUCUAAGCAUCAGGUAACAUCAAAUCGUACCCCAAACCGACACAGGUGGUCAGGUAGAGAAUACCAAGGCGCUUGAGAGAACUCGGGUGAAGGAACUAGGCAAAAUGGUGCCGUAACUUCGGGAGAAGGCACGCUGACACGUAGGUGAAGUGAUUUACUCAUGGAGCUGAAGUCAGUCGAAGAUACCAGCUGGCUGCAACUGUUUAUUAAAAACACAGCACUGUGCAAACACGAAAGUGGACGUAUACGGUGUGACGCCUGCCCGGUGCCGGAAGGUUAAUUGAUGGGGUCAGCGCAAGCGAAGCUCCUGAUCGAAGCCCCGGUAAACGGCGGCCGUAACUAUAACGGUCCUAAGGUAGCGAAAUUCCUUGUCGGGUAAGUUCCGACCUGCACGAAUGGCGUAAUGAUGGCCAGGCUGUCUCCACCCGAGACUCAGUGAAAUUGAACUCGCUGUGAAGAUGCAGUGUACCCGCGGCAAGACGGAAAGACCCCGUGAACCUUUACUAUAGCUUGACACUGAACAUUGAGCCUUGAUGUGUAGGAUAGGUGGGAGGCUUUGAAGUGUGGACGCCAGUCUGCAUGGAGCCGACCUUGAAAUACCACCCUUUAAUGUUUGAUGUUCUAACGUGGACCCGUUACCCGGGUUGCGGACAGUGUCUGGUGGGUAGUUUGACUGGGGCGGUCUCCUCCUAAAGAGUAACGGAGGAGCACGAAGGUUGGCUAAUCCUGGUCGGACAUCAGGAGGUUAGUGCAAUGGCAUAAGCCAGCUUGACUGCGAGCGUGACGGCGCGAGCAGGUGCGAAAGCAGGUCAUAGUGAUCCGGUGGUUCUGAAUGGAAGGGCCAUCGCUCAACGGAUAAAAGGUACUCCGGGGAUAACAGGCUGAUACCGCCCAAGAGUUCAUAUCGACGGCGGUGUUUGGCACCUCGAUGUCGGCUCAUCACAUCCUGGGGCUGAAGUAGGUCCCAAGGGUAUGGCUGUUCGCCAUUUAAAGUGGUACGCGAGCUGGGUUUAGAACGUCGUGAGACAGUUCGGUCCCUAUCUGCCGUGGGCGCUGGAGAACUGAGGGGGGCUGCUCCUAGUACGAGAGGACCGGAGUGGACGCAUCACUGGUGUUCGGGUUGUCAUGCCAAUGGCACUGCCCGGUAGCUAAAUGCGGAAGAGAUAAGUGCUGAAAGCAUCUAAGCACGAAACUUGCCCCGAGAUGAGUUCUCCCUGAGACUUAGAGUCUCCUGAAGGAACGUUGAAGACGACGACGUUGAUAGGCCGGGUGUGUAAGCGCAGCGAUGCGUUGAGCUAACCGGUACUAAUGAACCGUGAGGCUUAACCUUACAACGCCGAAG